Molecule: ribosomal RNA, 490 nt
Filed under: uncultured bacterium
Lineage: Bacteria
Description: partial 16S ribosomal RNA
Rfam family: Bacterial small subunit ribosomal RNA
Source: RNAcentral
AUUGAACGCUGGCGGCAGGCCUAACACAUGCAAGUCGAACGGUAACAGGAAGCAGCUUGCUGCUUCGCUGACGAGUGGCGGACGGGUGAGUAAUGUCUGGGAAACUGCCUGAUGGAGGGGGAUAACUACUGGAAACGGUAGCUAAUACCGCAUAACGUCGCAAGGCCAAAGAGGGGGACCUUAGGGCCUCUUGCCAUCGGAUGUGCCCAGAUGGGAUUAGCUAGUAGGUGGGGUAACGGCUCACCUAGGCGACGAUCCCUAGCUGGUCUGAGAGGAUGACCAGCCACACUGGAACUGAGACACGGUCCAGACUCCUACGGGAGGCAGCAGUGGGGAAUAUUGCACAAUGGGCGCAAGCCUGAUGCAGCCAUGCCGCGUGUAUAAAGAAGGCCUUCGGGUUGUAAAGUACUUUCAGCGGGGAGGAAGGGAGUAAAGUUAAUACCUUUGCUCAUUGACGUUACCCGCAGAAGAAGCACCGGCUAACUCCGUG